Molecule: ribosomal RNA, 617 nt
Filed under: Leptogium diffractum
Lineage: Eukaryota; Fungi; Ascomycota; Lecanoromycetes; Peltigerales; Collemataceae
Description: LSU rRNA
Rfam family: Eukaryotic large subunit ribosomal RNA
Source: RNAcentral
GUUGACCUCGGAUCAGGUAGAUACCSGCUGAACUAGCAUAUCAAUAAGCGGAGGAAAAGAAACCACCGGGAUUGCCUCAGUAACGGCGAGUGAAGCGGCAACAGCUCAAAUUUGAAAUCUGGCCUCUGCGGGGCCCGAGUUGUAAUUUGCAGAGGUGCUUCGGGCGCGGCGCCGGUCUAAGUUCCUUGGAACAGGACGUCAUAGAGGGUGAGAAUCCCGUAUGCGACCGACGAUCAACCCCGGUGAAGCCCCUUCGACGAGUCGAGUUGUUUGGGAAUGCAGCUCUAAAUGGGUGGUAAAUUUCAUCUAAAGCUAAAUACUGGCCAGAGACCGAUAGCGCACAAGUAGAGUGAUCGAAAGAUGAAAAGCACUUUGAAAAGAGAGUCAAACAGCACGUGAAAUUGUUGAAAGGGAAGCGCUUGCAAUCAGACCUGUGCGCGGGCGAUCAUCCGUUAUUCGUAGCGGUGCACUCGACCGCGGUCAGGCCAGCACGGGUUCGAGCGGCGGGAGAAAGCGCCCGGGAAUGUAGCUCCCUUCGGGGUGCCUUAUAGCCCGGGCGGCCAUGCCGCCCGCCCGGACCGAGGACCGCGCUUCGCUAGGUGCUGCUAAUGUGCACG